Molecule: long non-coding RNA, 614 nt
Organism: Astatotilapia calliptera (eastern happy)
Lineage: Eukaryota; Metazoa; Chordata; Actinopteri; Cichliformes; Cichlidae
Source: Ensembl
GUCUAUUACAUGCUCUACCGUGAUAUCAGGUUGGAGUGCCAUGCCAGGUCUAGUUUAUGUAUACCAGGGAAACCAUUGAAAACACAGUGUAUGCAGUUCCUGAGGUUAUCCGAACAACACCACCCAUGGAACAGAGUCCAAUCAGUGAUACUUCUCCAACAUCCACCUAUAGCUUUGUGAGACCUCACUCUGGACCCAACAGAUCCACUGAGGCCAGAAGCAAAGCUUUGCCCGAGAGCUUGUAUGCCCAGGUAGAAAUUCAUCCCAGAUCCUAAAAUCUCUUCAGAAAGCUUGAAACCUGGAUCCCCCGUAGCCGGUUACCAAGAUUACGUGAAGUACCCUCAGAAGGUCUACUCGAUGAUGUUAAUGCAGCACUAUGGAUGAUACCUACAGCCACGCUUACCGAGACUAACAAGCUGAUCUACAAUACGGCAGCAGUGAUCAGUGAGAUGCUUGUGAGACUGCUUUGAACAGCACACGAAGGACCUUCAUCUGGUGGUUCUUCUUCUCCUUUAGUUUGCACCGAAACACUUUCCCUCUGCUUGGAGUGGAUAUAUAAGAUUGUGGGGUGUUUCUGAUUACAGACCUUACGUUUCUAUGGAGAACCACAAGAG